AAAUUAGAGAUGUCAAAUAAAGUAAACCUUAGUAUGGAUAUGUUAGAAAUGCAAAACUGAGUAGCUGAAGCACAGGGAAAUUUGAAAAUAGUGAUCUGCUAAUCUGGAAUAAUCGGGAAGAAGAGACAGAAAAAAGGUCAAAUCACUUACUGAGACCUACUUGGUGCUACAUUUCCCUCCCAGAAGGAGCAGGGAAAAGAAACAGUUCUUGUAGAUGUAGUUUGGUUCCAUAUCUUUGCCAAUAAGAAGAUUCUGAAUGUGGUAUGUUUGCUAAUGACGGUAAUAUGAUAAGCGUCAUCAUUUCUUUUUCAAAAACUCGUGAAGUUUAGGUUAUAAACUAGCCUGAACAUAUUUUAUAACUUAAGAAACAAACUGUGGAAAAUGGUCAUUUCAUUUUUUACAUACAAUUAGGAAGCAUAUGUAGUAUAAAUUCAACUUUCUCUUGAUAUUUUAUAACACUUUGUAUGAAGUAUCGGGUAAAGUAACUUUAUCAACACGGUAUCUGUUUCAAAACAAUUCUGUAUUUCUGGCCUUGAAGCUCAGUGACUUAAGGGACCUGUCUUCCAAAAUGCCUUUUUUUUUUUUUUUUUCAGCUCCCUAGGAAAGGAUGCCUAAUACAAUUUGGUCAUAUUUGAGGCCACAAGAUUCAGUGCAAAAGGAAGUCUGCAUUCUGAGUAGGCUGAUUUCCUCUUUCUGGUCAUAAAUUAGUGUAGGUCUGCUUUCUGCUGUGCACAUACCACAUAAUCUUUAUAAAACCUAGAUAUACGGUACUGGAGAGAUUUCCUUUGUUUAUUAUCAAUUGGGUUAAUUAUUCAUGUCUUUUAUAAGACUUUAGCUGAAGUAUGUUAACAAAUAGUAAAUUUAAAUCUCUUGAUUUUGACUGAAUUUUCUGGAAUAAGCUUUUGGUAAAUUGUAAAAAAAAAAAUAAUUAUAGUUGUGGUGAUGUUUCAGCUUGUGGCAGUCUUAUGAUGAACAAAGGAAGACAAUGGUAAAUGACUAUAGGGUGCUUGCAAAACAAGACUUAAAACUCUUUAAAUUGUGCAGCAUAAACAAAGUUAGCAAAAUGAUGUUUGCUUCCAGAGGCAUUUUUUUAUCUUAAAUUAAAUAUUGUUACCUCAAUUGUAUAAUGUUUUUCUAUAUGUAUGAUUUGUUUAGGAUCUGACAGUUUUUGCAAAUUAAUUUUAACUUGAAUUACAUCCAUUUUUCU
Molecule: long non-coding RNA, 1207 nt
Organism: Oxyura jamaicensis (ruddy duck)
Lineage: Eukaryota; Metazoa; Chordata; Aves; Anseriformes; Anatidae
Exons: 3
Source: RefSeq, a predicted model, not a curated record